GACGAACGCUGGCGGCGUGCCUAACACAUGCAAGUCGAGCGAAGAAUUUCUGUUGCUUGCGGCGGAAGAACUUGGGGGCGGAAGGGUGAGUUACACGUAAAGAACCUUCCUCAUAGACUGGGACUAACAUCGGGAACGAUAGCUAAAAACGGGUAAUAGCGUUACCUGCAUGGGUGAUGUUUAAGAGUUGGUUUUGCUAACACUGUGAGGUGGCUUUGCGGUGCAUUAGCGAGUUGGUGGGGUAAGGGCCUACCAAGGCGACGAUGCAUAGCCGACCUGAGAGGGUGAUCGGCCACACUGGUACUGAGACACGGCCCAGACUCCUACGGGAGGCAGCAGUAGGGAAUCUUCCGCAAUGGGCGGAAGCCUGACGGAGCAACGCCGCGUGAGUGAAGAAGGAGUUCGGUUCGUAAAGCUCUGUUGUUAGGGAAGAAGGAUUGUGUAGUAACUUUACACAGUAGUGACGGUACCUAAACAGAAAGCCACGGCUAACUACGUG
RNAcentral lists this ribosomal RNA (499 nucleotides) under uncultured bacterium. RNAcentral describes it as "partial 16S ribosomal RNA". It matches the Rfam family "Bacterial small subunit ribosomal RNA", at positions 28 to 507 of the family's 1533-position model. The record is from RNAcentral.